GAACCGUGAAAGCGUGGCCU
Molecule: small nuclear RNA, 20 nt
Filed under: Arabidopsis thaliana (thale cress)
Lineage: Eukaryota; Viridiplantae; Streptophyta; Magnoliopsida; Brassicales; Brassicaceae
Description: snRNA_07270
Source: RNAcentral